GCAUGGGCGAAGCCUGUCCAGCCUGCCGCGUGUGUGAAGAAGGUCUUCGGAUUGUAAAGCACUUUAAGUUGGGAGGAAGGGCAGUAAAUUAAUACUUUGCUAGUUUUAGACGUUACCGACAGAAUAAGCACCGGCUAACUCUGUGCCAGCAGCCGCGGUAAUA
This 163-nucleotide ribosomal RNA is filed under the name uncultured bacterium. Its description in RNAcentral is "partial 16S ribosomal RNA". It matches the Rfam family "Bacterial small subunit ribosomal RNA", at positions 368 to 525 of the family's 1533-position model. The record is from RNAcentral.